RNA transcript from Rhinopithecus roxellana (golden snub-nosed monkey), 2104 nucleotides. It is a transcript of the gene named sodium/hydrogen exchanger 2-like, with no coding region annotated. The transcript is spliced from 2 exons. NCBI's taxonomy places the organism in Eukaryota, Metazoa, Chordata, Mammalia, Primates, Cercopithecidae. The record is from RefSeq and is a predicted model, not a curated record.
AUUUGUGUGGUUAAAGCUUUAUUUCUGAAGAGUAAAUGAAACAUGAAAACUACAUGAGCCAAACAGGAUUUCUUCUGUGUUUGCACUGUUGGAAUCUCAGAAAAACAAAUCUUUAGGUAUCCUGAUAUUUGAAAAAGGAAUAUGCUAGGCACUUACUUUGUAAAACUUGUCUAACAAAAUGCUUGGAGAAGCUUUCUUAAUUGAUCUUCUAUACAAAGAGCAGAAAUAUGCAAAAUUUUGCAAACCAUUUAUAUGUAAGAAGACUGAAAAGGAAACUUGGAAAAAGAAGAUUUUAGAUAGAGAAGAAAAUUCACUUUCCUCUGCUGAGAUGGAAAAUCAAGAAACAGCUACGAAAGAAAGAGUAAACAGAGCAAAAUGAUGAUACAGAUCAAAUAAAAUCUGUGGAUGAAACAACUGUAGCAAAAUGCAAAGGUAUACCUCUUCCAGGAAAUGUGUCAGUUGCGUUGCCCAUUUCAAAGAGAGAACAACAUGAUCAAAGACAACUAGAUUUAUGUAGAUCAUGGUUGUGUAUGAGUAUUUGCCACAAUUAUCCUGACCUACAGAUUGGAGGUGACGACAUGAAGAACAUAUGUGAUUCAGACUGCUUUAUGGAACACACACAUAAUGAUGUUUUUAAUGGUCCCCUUUUGUUUUCAGUUGGUAUGCCACUGGGUCAUUCUCCUGUCAUUGGGCCUCUAGAGGCAUUACCUACCUCAAAAUUAUUGAACGGGGAUGAAAGCCAAGAAAAAAGUAUGUUGUUUCAAAAACAGCCCCUCUCUAAUUCUAUGCUUAAUACUUAUAUGGAAAGAAAGGUGGACGAGCUCUACAAACAAUUAUUGGAAGAAAAUCUCACCAGAUGCCACUCUAUAACCAAUCUUAUGGCUUCCAAUUUGCUGAUGAAUAAUGUAAAUUACACCAGCCUUCAAAUCUCUCAAGAGCAGAACAUUGAGUUAUGGAAAGAUCAGGAAGCUAUCCUACACUCUCUACCACUAUGUAAUCUCUGUAACAGUUCUCAUGGAAACAGUUCUGAAUUCAGUACUCCUAACUUACAAAUAUCAAACCAGACAAUUAGGGAACUUCUAUGACAUCUACAAUAGAAACCAAAUGUAGGUUGUUUGGACAUACUUAAGGGACUGCAAUAACAAGAGUUUUCUCUGGCUUAUCAUUCACAUCUAGCCUUCUUUGGGGUGUGGUUAUUAUAGUUUUUGAGAAAUGAUUUGGCCCAUGGUACAUCUGAAUUAUUGUAGGAGACAGCUAUAGUAACUACAUUUUUGAGUGCAUGUUCUUAAUGUGUUGAUAUUUUAAUUGUUGCCAGAUUAAACUCUAUGUGUGUUUACCUAUUUAAUUUUCACUGGCACCCCAAAUCAAUUACCUCAGUGUCACAUAGCUUUAUUUACAACAAAAAUGGGAUGAGGAGUGGAUUAUUGCUCUAAGAUACUGAGGACAACUAGAAGGUAUAUCAGAGAGGGACAUUUAUUUCCCCACAAAAUUGCAUUGAUACUGACAAUCAAAAUAGUCUAGGGGGAAUUAUGAUAUGUAGUUAUGGAUAUGGAUAUGUAUAUCUGGAUAUCUAUAUGUGGAUAUCUAUAGAUCAAGAUUGAGUAUGGGGACAUAUAAAAGGAAAUACUUUAAACAAAAGUCAAAUUUAAAUGAUAUUUGAAAGAAACAUGGAAGGGGGGCUUAAGGAAAAAUGGAAAAUUCAUAAGUACCAUUUGUAUUGAAACUUGGGGCUUUGGAACUUACCUGGAAUGAACAUUAACUGUUUUAUAGCACUGUUAUCCCUGGUUGUUUUUAGGGAUGGGAGGAAACAAAACAUACAGGUAGAGUGAAGAAAGUAGAGUACCACCAUUUAGAAAUAAAAAGGCUCUCAGCAACUUGUUACACAUCAGAUUAUCCUCAAUCAUGAUCCUGGCUUAGAGUGAAAGGCAGCAGUGUAUUAUGGAAAUUUUCGAAUCUAAAUUAAAUACGUUGACAAAAUUAUCUAAAGUAACAGUAUAAUUUAUUGCAGACUUGGAAAGAAGCCUCCACACUUUUAAUAGAAAUAGGAAGAUGAUCGGCAUGCACUUGUGUGUUGUAAAAUAAAAUGGUAUUAAUUUCUGUUAUA